AACUUGCAAUCACAAAAAUCUGCUUUGAAUUUCUCUUCUCAUCCUCCAUCCUUAAGAAUUAAUCCUCAUACAGGAAUUAUUGAAGCACUGAAGAAGAACUGUUGUCUGGUAUCCAACACAAGGAAUGAAGAUGUGUGGCUGUGGUGGGACGGGAAAGAUGAAGUGAAGACUUGUUGGAUGAAUCUAAUGAAACACAAUUGGUGGAAACUAAAUCGGCAAACAACCUGCAAUGCAACCUGCUGCAUUACACUGCUCCAAAGGG
This 262-nucleotide long non-coding RNA is filed under the name Anser brachyrhynchus (Pink-footed goose). RNAcentral describes it as "lncRNA (ENSABRG00000008887.1)". Lineage: Eukaryota; Metazoa; Chordata; Aves; Anseriformes; Anatidae. The record is from RNAcentral.